ACAAUAAAAAUCUACGGUGCCAUUGGAGGAUUGUCUGUGUUUGUCCCUGACAUCACAUCGAAAUCAACGUGAAACUUCUUGGAUUGGACUAGAUUCCGGUUUCAAAUUGUCUCUCCCUUUCUGUGUGUUUGUAGUUCGGUCUGUGACUCUGUACACAACAAGAGAAAAGAAGGCCUUCUGCGUGAUAUACACGUCUGGAGUAGCUUCGGCUGACAAAAUCCUUCGCACUCCCGAUGAGACUACCUCCCAAAAUCAAAUACAAGCCCGUGGCUCUCUCUCUGCUUCCUGAGAACGAGGACGAACCGGCGCCGUUGCAGAUUUUCGACCCGAGAUGUUCGGGCAAUAAACGCCUGAGACGUUCUCCGAGGCUCACUCCUCGGAGUCCUCCAGAGGUCAAUGCGGCUCAAACCAUCGGUAAGAAAGCCGCUUCCAUGGCUUCCAAACAAUCAAAGUACCUCAGAAGUUGGCCCAGACUAUCAUCUGUUUCGGAAACGCGAAAUGCUGCUCUCGAAUGUUUGAAUGCUCGGAGUUUCAGAAGGUCGCCGAGACUGAAUAAUACUCCGGAUCCUAAUCCGGAUUCUUUCCCGGGUACAUUGCCCGGAUCGUCGAGGAAAUCCGAUUCUCUGAAGGGUAGGGGUAGUUUGGAAAAUUCCAAGUCGUCAAUGUUCCACGAAAACUCUCCUAGACGGUCUCCGAGAUUUAUGCCCACUCAAAAUGGCAAAGCUGAGCUUAGCUUAGAUAAGGUGAGGAUCAGACAUGGCUCAAAAGAGUUGAUGGACCUCAAAAUGCUGCAAGAUAGAAAAAGGUUGAAGGUUCAAAUCUUGACAAUGAAUGCUGAUGAAGAAGGUAAUAUACUGUCUAUGGUGGAGUGCUCCAAAGAGAAGUGCCUAAGGAGAUCUCCAAGACUGUCCUCGAUACAAUCUGGAGCCAAAAGCAGAUUUUCAAAGGCUUCACUGCAAAAGAUGUCUUCAAGAAACUUGCAGUCCCUUGGAAAGGGCAGCUUCAAAGCAGUCUCACCAAGAACUUCCAAUUUUAUAGCAAGAUCAUCAGGAGAAUCAAAAGCUGAGCCAAUUUCUCUCUUAUGGCAUGAGGAUGGUGAUAAGGCAUCUAAGGCGUCCAAAUACUAUGAUGCUGAAUUCUUUGGUGGUAGGCACUUGAGAAGGUCGCCAAGGCUAAAUUCAAGAACUCAAAACAAUGGCAGGGAUAAAUCUAUGGACAAAUUUCAUAUUGACUUAUUUAAUAAAAACCACUUAAGAAGAUCUCCAAGACUACUUGCAUCUUUGACACAGGCUGAUAAUGUCAAACUAGACUGUACUCUCAUUACAUUGUCUAGUUCAGAUGAGCAGUUUUCCAGCAUCAUUACGCCCUCUUCAGAAAAAUAUGAUCUGGAUGGAGAUUGCUUUAGGCAAUCUCCAAUUACAGCAACAUCUCUGUUUGGGGCAAAUAAUGGCAAAAGAGAACGCACUUUUAUUGAAUUGCCUAAUUCAGAUGAAGAAUGUUCUCCAAAGAAAUUUAAGUCAAUGGAUUCUUCAGUGGAUAAAUGGAAUAAGUACAAACAUAUGCCUUUCUUUGUUGGAGAUCCAAUUCCGGACGAUGAAGCUCAAGAAAGGUGGCGUUGGCGUUAUGAAAUAAAGAGCCAAAGAUCUAAAGGUCAACACUUGGAAAUUAUUGAGGAUGAAGAAGAUGAGAUAGUUUGGAAUGUGCAGAGCCAUUAUGCUCAAGCUAAACUCAACAAUCGCAUAUUUAGUUUGGGAGAUUGUGCGUAUAUAAAGGGUGAUGGAGGACAAAAACACAUAGGUAGGAUCCUGGAAUUUUUCAGAACAACUGAUGGAAAGAACUAUUUCAGAGUCCAAUGGUUUUAUAAAGUUGAAGAUACAGUUAUCAAAGAAGAAGGUGCUUUUCACGACAAGAAGCGUCUAUUCUAUUCUACAAUUAUGAAUGAUAACUUGAUAGAUUGUAUUAUUUCAAAAGUCAACAUUACACAAAUAACACCUAGGGUAGGACGAAUAUUGAACUUUAUUCUGCCGUCUGACUUCUAUUUUGAUAUGGAGUACUGUGUCGACUAUUCAACAUUUCGCUCCUUGGUGAUUGAUAAUUCAGUUAGAAGUCAUGAUGUAUCAUCACCAGAUGGCAUUAAGCCUGUAGAUACGAGGGCCACCCCAACCUUUUCACAGAAUGUUCCCAAUAGUGAAACCUAUGAAGCCAAAUUAGCACUAUUAGACCUUUUUUCUGGUUGUGGUGGAAUGUCUACUGGAAUGUGUCUUGGUGCCAAGCUUACCGGUGUUAAUCUUGCAAUGAGGUGGGCCCUUGAUAGUGAUGGGUCUGCAUGUGAAAGCUUGAAAUUAAAUCAUCCAGAGACACACGUUAGGAAUGAAACUGCUGCGGAUUUUCUAGAGCUCUUGAUGGAAUGGGAAAAGCUAUGCGGACAUUAUAGAGUCGAUGGUGCUGGAAGAACUCAUCCCUCAAGAGUAGUGACCUCAGGAGCAGACAACUGCAAUGGAAUUCCCACCGGUGAAUAUGAAGUUUCUAGACUUGUUGAUAUAUGUUACGGUGAUCCCAAUAAGACAGGCAAGCGUGGACUGAAUUUUAAGGUGCAUUGGAAGGGUUAUAGCACAAGUGAGGAUACAUGGGAGCCAAUUGAAGGGUUAAGUAAUUGCCAGGAAAGGAUACAGGAUUUUGUACAAAGUGGAUUGAAAUCAAAGAUCUUGCCACUCCCAGGUGAUGUUGAUGUCAUUUGUGGAGGUCCUCCUUGCCAAGGCAUAAGUGGUUAUAACCGCUAUAGAAAUAUUGAUUCUCCAUUAUCUGAUGACAGAAAUCGUCAAAUUGUAGUCUUCAUGGAUAUCGUCACAUUUUUAAAGCCCAAGUUUGUGUUGAUGGAAAAUGUUGUUGACAUUUUGAGAUUUGACAAGGCCUCCCUUGGAAGAUAUGCAUUAAGUCGUUUGGUACAUAUGAAUUACCAAGCAAGGCUGGGAACUAUCGCUGCUGGUUGUUAUGGUCUUCCACAAUUUCGCUUGCGUGUUUUUUUAUGGGGUGCUCAUCCUAGUGAGAAACUUCCCCAAUUUCCGCUUCCAACACAUGAUGUUAUUGUUAGAUAUUGGCCUCCGCCCGAGUUUGAGCGCAAUACUGUUGCUUUUGAAGAAGAUCAACCUCGUGAACUAGAAGAGGCGCUUGUGCUUCGUGAUGCCAUCUCUGAUCUUCCAGCUGUCACAAACAUUGAAAUUCGUGAAGAAAUGUCUUGUGAAAAACCUCCAGAAACUGAUUUUCAAAGAUAUAUCAGAUCAACUCGAUAUGAGAUGACUGGCUCCGCACUAAAUGACUCUUUAGAAACAAAACAUUCACUUUACGACCACCGGCCAUUCGCAUUGAGUGAAGAUGAUUAUUUACGAGUUUGCCAAAUUCCAAAAAGAAAAGGAGCAAAUUUCCGAGAUCUUCCUGGUGUAGUUGUAGGAGCUGACAAUGUGGCUCGGCGGGAUCGAACAGAACAAAAGCUGCUGCCAUCUGGAAAGUCAUUGGUACCAGAUUAUGCAUUUACCUUUGAGCAAGGAAAGUCCAGAAGGCCGUUUGCAAGGUUAUGGUGGGAUGAGACAGUGCCCACUGUCGUAACAUCUCCAAGUUGCCACAAUCAGCAUUACAUCCAGAGCAAGACCGAGUCCUUACUAUACGGGAGUAUGCAAGGUUGCAAGGUUUUCCUGAUUACUAUAGAUUAUGUGGUACCAUCAAAGAGAGGACAGUUUCAGAAUCCUCUCCCUGUGUAUAGUUUUGGUUCAUAUGAAAAGGAAGCUGCUCAUAAUCCAGAGGUACUGUCAAGUUGGAAAUGCAGUUGCCAUUCCAGUUGCACGAGCCUUAGGAUAUGCCAUGGGAUUGGCAUUUCGGAAGCUCAGUGGGGAUGAACCACUCAUGACUCUCCCCCCAAGUUCACUCAGUCUAGUUAUAUUCAAUUGGCGAAAUCCCUGUCUCGUGGGGCAUUAUCAAGUUAGCAGAAUGGGAUGAGAGUAAAAUGGUGAUAAAUCUUGCUUCAAGCAACAUUCUGAAGGUGUCGGUGGUUUUGGACUACUUCGUAUUUGAAAUUUACACCAAUGGGUCUUAUCCUUCUAAACAAC
Juglans microcarpa x Juglans regia is the source of this 4100-nucleotide RNA transcript. It is a transcript of the gene named DNA (cytosine-5)-methyltransferase CMT2-like, with no coding region annotated. The record is from RefSeq and is a predicted model, not a curated record. The transcript is spliced from 26 exons. NCBI's taxonomy places the organism in Eukaryota, Viridiplantae, Streptophyta, Magnoliopsida, Fagales, Juglandaceae.